CAAGUGCUCUGGCUCUGCCGCUGGUAUCAACUGAUACGAGAGGAAAGUCCGGGCAACACAGGACACUCCACUUCUGAAAGUAGAAGCUAUUGGUGACAGUAGGUGUCGGUAGAAGAAAAUAACCGCUCACUGGCAACAGGGAGUAAGGGUGAGAAGGUGGUGUAAGAGACCACCAGCUAACGGGCGAUCGUUAGGCUGUGCCAUCUGGAGGUUGCAAAUUCGCGUAAACCAUUGACGGAGAGUUGUCCGCUCGAACACUCGGUAGACUGGGAGCGUCAUGCUACAGUAGACCGCUUGUGGCAAUGGAGGGUAGAAUGCUGGAGUUGGAGGGUGACCUUCAAUGUAGAUAAAUGGUGGAGCACCAGUGCAAACUUGGUGACAGAACCCGGCUUAUAGGAGCACUUGAUUU
The sequence is a non-coding RNA, 409 nucleotides long. It matches the Rfam family "Bacterial RNase P class A". Rfam says of the family: Ribonuclease P (RNase P) is a ubiquitous endoribonuclease, found in archaea, bacteria and eukarya as well as chloroplasts and mitochondria. The record is from Rfam.